RNAcentral lists this ribosomal RNA (1355 nucleotides) under Calathus melanocephalus. RNAcentral's name for it is "16S ribosomal RNA". The stretch from base 1049 to 1207 matches the Rfam family "Archaeal large subunit ribosomal RNA", at positions 2544 to 2703 of the family's 2987-position model. The record is from RNAcentral. Lineage: Eukaryota; Metazoa; Arthropoda; Insecta; Coleoptera; Carabidae.
UUUUUGUUUUAAAAAUUUUAAUAAAAAUAAUUUUAUUAAUUUAAGUUUUUAGUAUUUUAUAAAGAAAAAAUUUUAUUAAUUAUAGUUAAUUUGUAUUGUAAAAGAUAAUUGAAAUAAUAAUAAAAUUUUAUAAAAGUAAAAUUGAUUUUUUGUACCUUGUGUAUCAGGGUUUAUUAAAUAAAUAUUAAUUAUUUUAAUUUUCUCGAUUUUAAGAGAGCUAAUAAAUUAUUUUUUUUAUUGUGAAAAAAAUAUUUAUAAUAAUUUAUUUGUAAUGAAACGUUAUUCGUUCUUAAAUAUAUCUAGUUUAUUUAGAAAUGAAUUUAAUUCAGAUAUUAUUAUUUUAAUAAAUUAAUUUUUUAAUUUAUUAAAUUUUAAUAUUAAUAAUUAAAGGGAUUAGCUUUUAAUUAAAAAUUUAUAAAUAUAGAAAGAAUUUAAAAAAUGUAAGUUUAGAAAUAGCUAUCAUUAAUAAUUUGUUAUAAUUAAUUUAUUUUUUUAUAUUAUUUUAUAUUAUUUUAAGUUUUUUAUAAAUAAAUAAUUUUUAAUUUUUAAAAAUUAGUUAUAAUGAUAAAAUUAGUAUAUAUGAUUUAUGUUUAAAUAAUAAUUUGUAAAAGAUUAUUUAAAGGAAUUCGGCAAAAAUUUUACUCGCCUGUUUAACAAAAACAUGUCUUUUUGAAUUAUAUAUAAAGUCUAACCUGCCCAAUGAAAAUUAAAUGGCCGCAGUAAUUUGACUGUGCAAAGGUAGCAUAAUCAUUAGUUUUUUAAUUAAAAGCUCGUAUGAAAGGUUGGACGAGGUAAAUUCUGUCUCUAUUUAAUUUAAAUUAGAAUUUAAUUUUUAAGUUAAAAAGCUUAAAUUUUUAUAAAAGACGAGAAGACCCUAUAGAGCUUUAUAAUUAUGUUAUUAUAAUUAUUUAAGAUUUAUUUAAGUUUUAAUGAUAUAAUUAUUUUAUUGGGGUAAUAGAAAGAUUGAAAAAAUUCUUUUUUAUUAUAAACAUAAAUUUAUGAAUUUAAUGAUCCAUUUUUAAUGAUUAUAAGAUUAAGUUACCUUAGGGAUAACAGCGUAAUUUUUUUAGAGAGUUCAUAUCGAUAAAAAAGUUUGCGACCUCGAUGUUGGAUUAAAGAUUAGUUUAGGUGUAGAAGUUUAAAUUUUUGGUCUGUUCGACCAUUAAAUCUUUACAUGAUCUGAGUUCAGACCGGUGUAAGCCAGGUCGGUUUCUAUCUUUAUUUAAUUAAAAUAUUUUAGUACGAAAGGACCAAAUAUUUAAUAUAUUUAUAUUUAUUUUUUGAAUAUUAUUAUUAUUUUGGCAGAUUAGUGCAAUGAAUUUAGAAUUCAUAAAUGUAAUUAUUUUACAAAUAAU